Molecule: ribosomal RNA, 497 nt
Filed under: uncultured bacterium
Lineage: Bacteria
Description: partial 16S ribosomal RNA
Rfam family: Bacterial small subunit ribosomal RNA
Source: RNAcentral
GAUGAACGCUGGCGGCGUGCCUAAUACAUGCAAGUCGAGCGAACAGACGAGGAGCUUGCUCCUCUGGCGUUAGCGGCGGACGGGUGAGUAACACGUGGAUAACCUACCUAUAAGACUGGGAUAACUUCGGGAAACCGGAGCUAAUACCGGAUAAUAUAUUGAACCGCAUGGUUCAAUAGUGAAGGACGGUUUUGCUGUCACUUAUAGAUGGAUCCGCGCCGCAUUAGCUAGUUGGUAAGGUAACGGCUUACCAAGGCAACGAUGCGUAGCCGACCUGAGAGGGUGAUCGGCCACACUGGAACUGAGACACGGUCCAGACUCCUACGGGAGGCAGCAGUAGGAGAUCUUCCGCAAAGGGCGAAAGCUUGACGGAGCAACGCCGCGUGAGUGAUGAAGGUCUUCGGAUCGUAAAACUCUGUUAUUAGGGAAGAACAAAUGUGUAAGUAACUAUGCACGUCUUGACGGUACCUAAUCAGAAAGCCACGGCUAACUACGUG